GACAGAAUUCAGGUAGGUAAUUUGAAAUUUCAUAGUAUUCUGAACAUUAUUGAUUUGGUACUGAAGGUUCUUGCAUGAGAACCCACGUAUAUAUCAAAUAUUUUGAGAUAGUUAAGCUGCGUUGUUGAGAGUAAGGAAUUACACAGGAAGGUCUUUGUUGGCAAAGAAUUUGUAUAUGAUGGGAAAAAGAUGUUAUUAAUAUUAGGGUUUUUUAAAAGAAUAAUUUUUAGAAUUUAGAAUUUAUAAUAAGAAAUUAGAUUUUAGAAUUUUGAAUUCAUAAUGUUAAUUAAUAUAAAAGAUUGGUCAUGACAAUAGUAUUAAAACAAAUAAAAGCAUUUGGCGGCAAAGAAUUUGUGUAUGAUGAAUAAAACAUGCUAUUAAUAUUAGAGCGUCUAUGACAGAACAAUUUUGAGAAUUUAGAGUUCGUUAUAGGUAGAAUUCAUAAUUCAAAUUUCAAUUGCAUGCUUUUUUCUGCUGUAUAUAAAAAGUUCAAAUUAAGUGUCCAGAAUUGUAUGAAUCAAAGAUGUUCAUAGAUGUUUAAAUUUGUUUUUUACUGUUUAAUUAGUUUAUACUGUGCCUAAGUUAAUUGGCAAAUGAUAAUUUACAAAAGUUCAACGUGAUGUUCAAAACUAAGUUAUAUCAGUAGUCUGGUAAAUUAGUGAGAAAAACUUGGUGCUCAACAAAAGUUAAACAUAGUGAACCUAUAAUAUUAUGAUAUAUAUUAUUAGGAGAGUAAAAUCAUUAACUUCAUAUAUACAUGUACUGAAUGAAAUUUUAAAUUCUUUUUUUUCAAAACAAAUUGUACGUAAAUUACAACAUAGAACAGAAAUAUAAUUGUGGAAUCGCCAAAUUUUUUUAAAAAAUAGUGAAAUGUAAGACUUACAGGUUCAAAUUCCCAACAUGUGAACUGAGUAGCUGUUUUUCAACACUAAAUAAUUUUACCACUGCUAUCAAAUUUUUCAGAACUAAAUAAUUUUACUACCUUCAUUUUGACGGCAAGUCUGUGCAACAACAAUUCAAAGCGCGAGCCUUCAUUGUGUAAUCAUCAUGAACGUAUACAUAAAACAAUUAUAAAGAAUGUUUGCGUCUACUUGGAGCAUGGCCUCCUGUCACGCUCGGGUACCAGCGGAAGCAUAUCUGGUACGUGCACAGACCCGCCAUACACCUGCAGUAUAUAAGGCGUCUACAAAGCAAAACGACAGGAAGUAGAACAUAGGAAAUCCUAUCCUGAUAUCAGAGCAAAGUACAAGUCGAUAUACUAUAAGCAAAAGAACAAAAGAAAAUACAAUUCAAAAUCUCGUUAAAAGAGAAGUAUCACAACUGUAGUUCUCGGUCCAAAUAGUACAUAUACAUCCUGGGUAUACAAAAAUAGAUACAAUAGUAGUCUCUCUAUACAUAGGGACAUCAAAACCCGAAAUCAAUACUCAAAUCGACAAAUAGAACGUCGAUAACGAAAAAGUCGAGUCGAUUACCUUCUCAAGCUUCCAACCAGCACCUCAUUGGCUCAGGGCUGCGAAAAGCCCUCCAAAAUACUCCCUCACACGUCCACGUAGGUUCAGCGACGCUCGCAACCAGCGGAAAACCAACGUUGCGACGAAAACAAGCAAAAUCGGCGAUUUCGUUGUAGAGGGAGAAAAACCCUAGAGAGAGAGAGAGAAAAUGGUGCAAGGGCCUUUCUCUGAGCUCUAGCAUCAUCUAUGGAGCUCCAGAGGUCGUGCUGGAUUCAAAUAGAUAGGAUCAAGAUGUGAAAUUACCAAUAUAACCUUGCUGCCACGUUUUACCAGUGUGUACCGGUACACCAUGAUGGCUGUACCGGUACACAAAGCAGAAAACUGCUGAUUUCGCCAGAUCAGCGCACUUUCUUGCUUUUAACCUUCCAAUCACUCUCUAACUUGUUCAAAAACUUGUCCAAGUCAUUUAAAAUAUGUAGGAUAGUUCCACAUAUCAUUCCACACACUCGAACUCCGUAAUUUGCAAAAGUUCAGUGUAUUACACCUCCACAGUAAGACUAUGGGGAAGGAAAAAAUGUGAUCUCAAUCUCCACCAAAGCCUGCUCGAUU
This 2060-nucleotide long non-coding RNA is filed under the name Ananas comosus (pineapple). RNAcentral describes it as "long non-coding RNA (ACOM_LNC010241)". The record is from RNAcentral. Lineage: Eukaryota; Viridiplantae; Streptophyta; Magnoliopsida; Poales; Bromeliaceae.